RNAcentral lists this small nucleolar RNA (182 nucleotides) under Xyrichtys novacula (pearly razorfish). It matches the Rfam family "Small nucleolar RNA SNORA81". Lineage: Eukaryota; Metazoa; Chordata; Actinopteri; Labriformes; Labridae. The record is from RNAcentral.
UCCUUCUGCAUUAACAGAAGUCUGCUAUAAUUGUGUGAAUCAGAUCUGAUCUGUCUCACGCGAUAAUGCUAGCAGAUUAUUGCGUGGAAGGAGAUGAAUUCGCACGGCACUGAAAAUGAGAUGUGGUCGAACCUCUUUCUUAAUGUUCAUUGGCCUCUGUCUCAAGGUGCAGUGUCACAUAU